GAGACAUCUCAUUUGCCAUGCAAACUUAAUCUCUACAGUCUGUAUUACUCUCUCUCUCUCUCUAUUAUACCUCUCAAAACGACACUACACCAACCUAAAUUCGAUAUCAUCGAGUGUUUUUCCUCUCUUUUUGCCUUUUUGGGUGUCCAGGUUUUUGGCUCCUUGGUGUAAUCUUGAAGAAGAAACAAGAAAGAGAGAAAGAGGAGUAAUGGAGGAGCAGGUGAAGGAACAAGGGGGACCUACUGCUUGAUUUUUGGCUGGCAGAAACGGUCACUGUCAAUGAUUUUUCUUCUUUGGGUGGUAUUGGUGGUUUAUCUGAAUAUCUAGUCACUAAUCACACUCACAGACUCACUAUCUUGCAGUAUUGCUUAGGGGAGAUCUUGGUGAUCAAGAUCCCUGCCCAUCCUUAUCACGCUUUUUCCUUUCUUAUUUUGAGGGAAUUUGUUGGUGCCUGUUGUUAUCUCCCAAGAAAGCUGAAAACUUAAGCUGCUUUCUUUUGGUACUUGGGCUCUUAAGGGAAACAGCAGAUUUCAGUCAUAUGAGGAGAUCUUUCACCCUAGUGGAUGUGCUUCUGGUACUUGCACUCUUCAGUGACGUUCCAUGGCUUAUCAAGGGCAGUUCAUAUUGCAAACGGGCUAACUCUGCAGCUAUUCGGCCUCACAGUGUCACUAUUACUGAAUUUGGUGCAGUUGGAGAUGGGGUCACUCUCAACACCAAAGCAUUUCAGAAUGCUAUUUUCUAUCUCAACUCAUUUGCUGAUAAGGGAGGCGCCAAGCUUUUUGUCCCAGCUGGCCAGUGGUUGACAGGCAGCUUCGAUCUCAUCAGUCAUCUGACAUUGUGGUUAGAUAAGGAUGCAAUGAUUCUUGGAUCAACUGUAAGUUUUCACUUCCAUGCCACAGGAUAUAUGCGUACAAAAUAGCUUACACUCAUUGCCAGUUAUCUGCAGUCUGUUUUAUGACUGACCCGUUUUUAGUUGAUCUAAAGUAGGAAGUAUGUAAGGGAUUCUAAGAAGCUAUUGUUAAGAUAAGACAUGUAAUUAAUGUGAAUUACAAGGAAGUUGUGUUUAAUUGAAAUAUAAUAACUUAAUACCCAUUGAGUUGAUAUGCCAAUUAAUGCAAGAAUGACAGUGAAUCUGUGAUAGUCGGUGCCUCAUUGAUAUCCACUGGUGCAAGUUGAGCCCCUAGUCCAACUGAAAAGUGAUAGUUAUGAUAUUUUGGCUCAUGAUAUUUAAAAAAAAAAAAAAAACUUGACCUGCCAAUUCCAGAACUCUGAUGAUUGGCCAGUUGUUGAUCCUCUACCAUCAUAUGGGCGAGGAAGGGAGUUGCCUGGUAGGAGGCAUCGAAGCCUCAUUUAUGGCUGCAAUUUGACAGAUGUUGUUAUAACAGGUUGGUGAUGUCAAUGAAGGACUAAAUACCACGUUUGUUUUGUUUGCUUUCAUAAUAUCACUGGUUUCUCUGUGCAGGGGAUAAUGGAACUAUUGAUGGUCAAGGCAGCAUCUGGUGGAAUUGGUUCCAAACCAAAACCCUGAACUAUACCCGGCCUCAUCUGGUUGAGUUAAUGAACUCAACUGGGAUAGUUAUCUCAAACCUGACCUUCAUAAAUUCACCAUUCUGGACAAUCCACCCUGUUUACUGCAGGUUUGUCCCUCCAAAUGGACUAUAAUGCAUCUCUCCCCUGUUUGUCGUACUUGAAGUUUUUAAAUUGACAUAUAAAACUUUGCAAAAGUGAAACUUUCAUGAAUUAGGGGGAGAGUUGAGAUUGUUUUUCUGGAUGAACAGCCAAGUUAUUGUCCAAAAUGUUACGAUCCGUGCUCCUCUUGAUUCACCAAACACAGAUGGGAUUGAUCCAGGUAAACUUUCUCUGGUAGGCUGGAAGUUAUUCCAAUUUAAUGUAUAAAUGACGAGUACCAUAGUUUGAGAAGCAAAUUCUAUAACAGAAAAGUUGUAGUUCUUCCCAUGUGGUAACUAGAGCAAUAAGUUUUUGCUAAUUGGAUUCCCAGCUUUCUAGCUGUCGUUGUCUUGGAACCUGUUCUGGCUUUAAUUUUAGGGCAAGAAAUAUUUUCUCCUCUAAACAGCAAUUUCAACACUGCCUUGCUCAACCAUUUUCAAUUACUUGCUUCAAAUGCUUCAUUAGGGUUCUUACCUAUUCAUUUAAAUGCAAUCAGAUUCUUCUGAUGAUGUGUGCAUUGAGGACUGUUACAUUAGUACUGGUGAUGAUAUAAUUGCGAUCAAAAGUGGGUGGGAUGAGUAUGGCAUAUCAUAUGCUCGUCCUUGCAGAAACAUUACUAUUCGCCGGCUUGUUGGACAAACUCGAACAAGUGCAGGGAUUGCAAUUGGAAGUGAGAUGUCUGGAGGUGUAUCUGAAGUUCGUGCUGAAAAUAUCCAGUUUUAUAAUUCAAGUACAGGUAUCAGGAUAAAGACUUCUCCAGGAAGGGGUGGCUAUGUGAGAAAUAUCUAUAUAUCAAAUAUAACCUUGACUGAUGUGAAAAUAGCUAUAAGGUUCACUGGUCGUUAUGGGGAACACCCAGAUGAACAUUAUGAUCCAAAAGCUCUUCCAAUCGUAGAAAGGAUAACCAUUGAAGACAUCACAGGAGAUAACAUUGAGUAUGCAGGCAUCCUAGAUGGUAUAGAAGCAGACAGUUUUCUGAACAUCUGCCUAUCGAACAUUACCCUUAACGUAACCUCCAAGUCUCCUUGGAACUGUUCAUAUAUCCAAGGAUAUUCUGACUCAGUUUCCCCAGAAACUUGUGAGCCCCUCAGGGAGAGUAUCUCCCCUUAUUAUUACUCUGAUUGUUACCAUCUAUCAAGUCAUUUGCUGAAUUCAAGUAAUCAAAACAGAAGUACUUGGUUGCUGUCUUGGUAAAUUUAUGGAAGCUUUAGUAUUUGUUCAGUGGUCUACUCACCUUCGAUUGUGAAAGGUCAAUUAAGUUCAAAUUUUGAUUCUUGCCAUUUUGCUCAUUGCCAUGCAGAGAAAAAUGAUUGCCUGACACAUAGAAUUGAGUCAAGUUGCUGCUUUGUUGUUGACUUGUGAAAGAGUAUUGAGGAAUGAUUUUUCGUGUGACUUUGUGUGCAGUAACAAAUAAUUGAGUGAUUUAUCAGAAAGUGAAAAUAGAAUGAGUUUAUAUUCACUCUCUCUCCACUCAUAGUUGUUUUAUUUCUUUUAUUUAUUAAAUGGUAGAAUUAUAUU
RNAcentral lists this unclassified non-coding RNA (3186 nucleotides) under Hevea brasiliensis (rubber tree). Lineage: Eukaryota; Viridiplantae; Streptophyta; Magnoliopsida; Malpighiales; Euphorbiaceae. The record is from RNAcentral.